This 433-nucleotide long non-coding RNA is filed under the name Zostera marina. RNAcentral's name for it is "long non-coding RNA (ZMAR_LNC000761)". Lineage: Eukaryota; Viridiplantae; Streptophyta; Magnoliopsida; Alismatales; Zosteraceae. The record is from RNAcentral.
UUAAUAGUGUAAUUAGGGUUUAAAUUGACAUGAUUAAAAUAUAAUCCUAUAUCGACAAUUUUGAUUCUACAUUCUCCCCCUUUGUCGAUGGCAUAUAUGUUUUAACUCAUGUCUAGUCAAUAUUCUAUUUUAUCCUUAUGAGCAUGCUCCCCCUGAAUUAUUGACCCAUAAUAUUCAAUUUAAAAGCAGUGGAUCAUGCAUGAUUUCUCCCCCUUAAAACAAUAAGGUAUCGACAAAGUUAACAAUAGAUACCUAUGAAGUAUCUCCCCCUUAAUGAUAGGACAUAUCUAAUUUGUGGAGAAAAUAAAAUUUCAUACCUCAUUGAGCUUUAAUCACAAAUUUGAUUUGUGUGGUUGACCAAAUGUGACGUCUUGCUUAUAAGAGUGUUAGUCAAUCAUAAAGGAGAAAUAACAUGUAAUUUAUGCUCAUUGAU